GUGACUGCGUACCUUUUGUAUAAUGGGUCAGCGACUUAUAUUCUGUAGCAAGGUUAACCGAAUAGGGGAGCCGAAGGGAAACCGAGUCUUAACUGGGCGUUAAGUUGCAGGGUAUAGACCCGAAACCCGGUGAUCUAGCCAUGGGCAGGUUGAAGGUUGGGUAACACUAACUGGAGGACCGAACCGACUAAUGUUGAAAAAUUAGCGGAUGACUUGUGGCUGGGGGUGAAAGGCCAAUCAAACCGGGAGAUAGCUGGUUCUCCCCGAAAGCUAUUUAGGUAGCGCCUCGUGAAUUCAUCUCCGGGGGUAGAGCACUGUUUCGGCAAGGGGGUCAUCCCGACUUACCAACCCGAUGCAAACUGCGAAUACCGGAGAAUGUUAUCACGGGAGACACACGGCGGGUGCUAACGUCCGUCGUGAAGAGGGAAACAACCCAGACCGCCAGCUAAGGUCCCAAAGUCAUGGUUAAGUGGGAAACGAUGUGGGAAGGCCCAGACAGCCAGGAUGUUGGCUUAGAAGCAGCCAUCAUUUAAAGAAAGCGUAAUAGCUCACUGGUCGAGUCGGCCUGCGCGGAAGAUGUAACGGGGCUAAACCAUGCACCGAAGCUGCGGCAGCGACGCUGAUGCGUUGUUGGGUAGGGGAGCGUUCUGUAAGCCUGUGAAGGUGUGCUGUGAGGCAUGCUGGAGGUAUCAGAAGUGCGAAUGCUGACAUAAGUAACGAUAAAGCGGGUGAAAAGCCCGCUCGCCGGAAGACCAAGGGUUCCUGUCCAACGUUAAUCGGGGCAGGGUGAGUCGACCCCUAAGGCGAGGCCGAAAGGCGUAGUCGAUGGGAAACAGGUUAAUAUUCCUGUACUUGGUGUUACUGCGAAGGGGGGACGGAGAAGGCUAUGUUGGCCGGGCGACGGUUGUCCCGGUUUAAGCGUGUAGGCUGGUUUUCCAGGCAAAUCCGGAAAAUCAAGGCUGAGGCGUGAUGACGAAGCACUACGGUGCUGAAGCAACAAAUGCCCUGCUUCCAGGAAAAGCCUCUAAGCAUCAGGUAACAUCAAAUCGUACCCCAAACCGACACAGGUGGUCAGGUAGAGAAUACCAAGGCGCUUGAGAGAACUCGGGUGAAGGAACUAGGCAAAAUGGUGCCGUAACUUCGGGAGAAGGCACGCUGAUAUGUAGGUGAAGUCCCUUGCGGAUGGAGCUGAAAUCAGUCGAAGAUACCAGCUGGCUGCAACUGUUUAUUAAAAACACAGCACUGUGCAAACACGAAAGUGGACGUAUACGGUGUGACGCCUGCCCGGUGCCGGAAGGUUAAUUGAUGGGGUCAGCGCAAGCGAAGCUCUUGAUCGAAGCCCCGGUAAACGGCGGCCGUAACUAUAACGGUCCUAAGGUAGCGAAAUUCCUUGUCGGGUAAGUUCCGACCUGCACGAAUGGCGUAAUGAUGGCCAGGCUGUCUCCACCCGAGACUCAGUGAAAUUGAACUCGCUGUGAAGAUGCAGUGUACCCGCGGCAAGACGGAAAGACCCCGUGAACCUUUACUAUAGCUUGACACUGAACAUUGAGCCUUGAUGUGUAGGAUAGGUGGGAGGCUUAGAAGUGUGGACGCCAGUCUGCAUGGAGCCGACCUUGAAAUACCACCCUUUAAUGUUUGAUGUUCUAACGUUGACCCGUAAUCCGGGUUGCGGACAGUGUCUGGUGGGUAGUUUGACUGGGGCGGUCUCCUCCUAAAGAGUAACGGAGGAGCACGAAGGUUGGCUAAUCCUGGUCGGACAUCAGGAGGUUAGUGCAAUGGCAUAAGCCAGCUUGACUGCGAGCGUGACGGCGCGAGCAGGUGCGAAAGCAGGUCAUAGUGAUCCGGUGGUUCUGAAUGGAAGGGCCAUCGCUCAACGGAUAAAAGGUACUCCGGGGAUAACAGGCUGAUACCGCCCAAGAGUUCAUAUCGACGGCGGUGUUUGGCACCUCGAUGUCGGCUCAUCACAUCCUGGGGCUGAAGUAGGUCCCAAGGGUAUGGCUGUUCGCCAUUUAAAGUGGUACGCGAGCUGGGUUUAGAACGUCGUGAGACAGUUCGGUCCCUAUCUGCCGUGGGCGCUGGAGAACUGAGGGGGGCUGCUCCUAGUACGAGAGGACCGGAGUGGACGCAUCACUGGUGUUCGGGUUGUCAUGCCAAUGGCACUGCCCGGUAGCUAAAUGCGGAAGAGAUAAGUGCUGAAAGCAUCUAAGCACGAAACUUGCCCCGAGAUGAGUUCUCCCUGACUCCUUGAGAGUCCUGAAGGAACGUUGAAGACGACGACGUUGAUAGGCCGGGUGUGUAAGCGCAGCGAUGCGUUGAGCUAACCGGUACUAAUGAACCGUGAGGCUUAACCUUACAACGCCGAAG
RNAcentral lists this ribosomal RNA (2364 nucleotides) under Escherichia coli. RNAcentral's name for it is "partial 23S ribosomal RNA". It matches the Rfam family "Bacterial large subunit ribosomal RNA", at positions 593 to 2925 of the family's 2925-position model. The record is from RNAcentral. Lineage: Bacteria; Pseudomonadati; Pseudomonadota; Gammaproteobacteria; Enterobacterales; Enterobacteriaceae.